CGGCAUGAUCUAGUAUAAGCAAUUAUACCGUGAAACUGCGAAUGGCUCAUUAAAUCAGUUAUCGUUUAUUUGAUAGUACCUUACUACUUGGAUAACCGUGGUAAUUCUAGAGCUAAUACAUGCUAAAAACCCCAACUUCGGGAGGGGUGUAUUUAUUAGAUAAAAAACCAAUGCCCUUCGGGGCUCCUUGGUGAUUCAUAAUAACUUAACGGAUCGCAUGGCCUUGCGCCGGCGACGGUUCAUUCAAAUUUCUGCCCUAUCAACUUUCGAUGGUAAGGUAUUGGCUUACCAUGGUUUCAACGGGUAACGGGGAAUUAGGGUUCGAUUCCGGAGAGGGAGCCUGAGAAACGGCUACCACAUCCAAGGAAGGCAGCAGGCGCGCAAAUUACCCAAUCCCGACACGGGGAGGUAGUGACAAUAAAUACUGAUACAGGGCUCUUUUGGGUCUUGUAAUCGGAAUGAGUACAAUUUAAACCCCUUAACGAGGAACAAUUGGAGGGCAAGUCUGGUGCCAGCAGCCGCGGUAAUUCCAGCUCCAAUAGCGUAUAUUAAAGUUGUUGCAGUUAAAAAGCUCGUAGUUGAACCUUGGGCCUGGCUGGCCGGUCCGCCUCACCGCGUGUACUGGUCCGGCCGGGCCUUUCCUUCUGGAGAUCCUCAUGCCCUUCACUGGGUGUGUUGGGGAACCAGGACUUUUACUGUGAACAAAUUAGAGUGUUCAAAGCAGGCCUUUGCUCGAAUACAUUAGCAUGGAAUAAUAGAAUAGGACGUGCGGUCCUAUUUUGUUGGUUUCUAGGACCGCCGUAAUGAUUAAUAGGGAUAGUCGGGGGCAUCAGUAUUCAAUUGUCAGAGGUGAAAUUCUUGGAUUUAUUGAAGACUAACUACUGCGAAAGCAUUUGCCAAGGAUGUUUUCAUUAAUCAGUGAACGAAAGUUAGGGGAUCGAAGACGAUCAGAUACCGUCGUAGUCUUAACCGUAAACUAUGCCGACUAGGGAUCGGGCGAUGUUUCUAUCUUGACUCGCUCGGCACCUUACGAGAAAUCAAAGUUUUGGG
Molecule: ribosomal RNA, 1050 nt
Filed under: Nigrograna asexualis
Lineage: Eukaryota; Fungi; Ascomycota; Dothideomycetes; Pleosporales; Nigrogranaceae
Description: SSU rRNA
Rfam family: Eukaryotic small subunit ribosomal RNA
Source: RNAcentral